Molecule: ribosomal RNA, 1418 nt
Filed under: Orbilia rhamni
Lineage: Eukaryota; Fungi; Ascomycota; Orbiliomycetes; Orbiliales; Orbiliaceae
Description: eukaryotic LSU rRNA
Rfam family: Eukaryotic large subunit ribosomal RNA (bases 870-1418)
Source: RNAcentral
UAAAUGUAAGUGGGUAUUAAAUCGCAAGUCUUCCCCCCCCAGGGAAAGGCCACACUUUCGAAUUGCGGGAACACCCUAAAGCUGACAUCCUACCAAACCGGCUGGGAGAAAUCCUCCGGUGGCUUGUGGUAACUACACAAGGUACGGUAAAAACGGGUUCAGAUAAACGCUAGCCGAGCUAGCUGCAUGGGCAAUCCGCAGCCAAUCCCUAAGGUGUUCGUUCACUAUGGGACAGGUUCACAGACUAAGUGGAAGUGGGCUGCGCUGGCAGCUUGAGAUAUAGUCGGGUUCUGCGAGAAAUCGCUGGAGAGUCACUGUUCCGUAGGUGAACCUGCGGAAGGAUCAUUACCAAAACUUGCGAACCCGGUUCAGGCUGGGAACGCUUCAACCCUUUGUGAAACUAAAAAACUUUUCGCUUCGGUUAGCAGGGGAGGCGCGGUUCCGGGUCAGCACCCGGGCCUGUUUCCCCGUAAGCCUGCCGACAGCACCACAUAAACUUGCAUUUAAAUAUUGUCUGACCACCAAAUUUUCGAAUGAAAAUUAAAACUUUCAACAACGGAUCUCUUGGUUCUCGCAUCGAUGAAGAACGCAGCGAAACGCGAUAGUUAAUGUGAAUUGCAGAAUUCAGUGAAUCAUCGAGUCUUUGAACGCACAUUGCGCCCAUUGGUAUUCCAUUGGGCAUGUCUGUUUGAGCGUCAUUACAACCCCUCAGCGCAAGCUGGUCUUGAGCCCGGUUCGGAAACGGACCUGGUUUUAAAGUUGUAAGCUCUGCUGGCUGCUCCGCCCGAACGAAAACAUAGUAAAAUUUUGCUUGUUUACAACUAAGGUGUGCAGGACGGCCUGAACAAAACCUACCAAAUUCUAAGGUUUGACCUCAGAUCAGACAAGGAUACCCGCUGAACUUAAGCAUAUCAAUAAGCGGAGGAAAAGAAACCAACAGGGAUUGCCUCAGUAACGGCGAGUGAAGCGGCAAAAGCUCAAAUUUGAAAUCUGGAGUUUUUAACUUCCGAGUUGUAAUUUGAAGAGGAUGUUUCGGUUGCGGCUUGGGCCCAAGUUCCUUGGAACAGGACGUCAUGGAGGGUGAGAAUCCCGUACGUGGCUACCGGCUUGCUUCUAUGUGAAACUCCUUCGAAGAGUCGAGUUGUUUGGGAAUGCAGCUCAAAAUGGGUGGUAAAUUUCAUCUAAAGCUAAAUAUUGGCGAGAGACCGAUAGCGCACAAGUAGAGUGAUCGAAAGAUGAAAAGCACUUUGAAAAGAGAGUUAAACAGUACGUGAAAUUGUUGAAAGGGAAGCGCUUGCAAUCAGACUCACUUUCAGUUGAUCAACGUUCCUUCUGGUUCGUGCACUCUGCUGUUUGUGGGCCAGCAUCAGUUAAGGCGGCAGGACAAAAGUUCCGGGAAUGUGGCUCCCCUCGGGGAG